UACGUAGGGGGCGAGCGUUGUUCGGAAUUACUGGGCGUAAAGGGCUCGUAGGUGGCCAACUAAGUCGGACGUGAAAUCCCUCAGCUUAACUGGGGAACUGCGUCCGAUACUGGAUGGCUUGAGUUUGGGAGAGGGAUGCGGAAUUCCAGGUGUAGCGGUGAAAUGCGUAGAUAUCUGGAGGAACACCGGUGGCGAAGGCGGCAUCCUGGACCAACACUGACACUGAGGAGCGAAAGCCAGGGGAGCAAACGGG
This 253-nucleotide ribosomal RNA is filed under the name uncultured bacterium. Its description in RNAcentral is "partial 16S ribosomal RNA". It matches the Rfam family "Bacterial small subunit ribosomal RNA", at positions 524 to 776 of the family's 1533-position model. The record is from RNAcentral.